Molecule: ribosomal RNA, 194 nt
Filed under: uncultured bacterium
Lineage: Bacteria
Description: partial 16S ribosomal RNA
Source: RNAcentral
AUUACCGCGGCUGCUGGCACAGAGUUAGCCGGUGCUUAUUCUGUCGGUAACGUCAAGACACUAACGUAUUAGGUUAAUGCCCUUCCUCCCAACUUAAAGUGCUUUACAAUCCGAAGACCUUCUUCACACACGCGGCAUGGCUGGAUCAGGCUUUCGCCCAUUGUCCAAUAUUCCCCACUGCUGCCUCCCGUAGG